GUGCACACCAACGAUUUAUCCUGCUGACCCUUUCAAUCCAGAAGAAGACGCAUCUCUUCUUCGAACAGCGAUGAAGGGCUUUGGCACCGAUGAACAGACGAUAAUCGACGUCCUUGCUCAUCGUGGGAUCGUCCAGCGGCUUGAGAUAGCUGAUAAAUUUAAAACUAUGUACGGGAAGGAUCUCAUUUCUGAAUUAAAAUCAGAACUUGGUGGCAACUUUGAGAAGGCAAUUUUGGCGCUAAUGACACCGUUACCGGAAUUCUAUGCUAAAGAACUUCAUAAUGCAAUUUCCGGCAUGGGUACAGAUGAAGGUGCUCUUAUCGAGGUGCUAGCUUCUCUUAGUAAUUACGGCAUCAAGACGAUAUCCGCCGUCUAUAAAGAAUUGUAUGACAAAGACCUGGAGGAUGAUUUGAAGAGUGAUACUUCGGGCUACUUUAAGAGACUCCUAGUUUCCCUUUCAUGUGCCAACAGAGAUGAAAAUCCUGAUGUUGAUGAAGAAGCUGCAAUUCAGGAUGCUGAGAAAUUACUUGCAGCUGGUGAGGAACAAUGGGGAACCGACGAAAGUACUUUUAACGCUAUUCUCAUUACCAAAAGCUAUCCUCAACUUCGAAGAAUUUUCUAUGAAUAUGAACGUCUCGCUGGUCAUGAUUUAGAAGAUGCUAUUAAGAGAGAAUUUUCAGGAUCUAUUGAAGAUGGUUAUCUUGCAGUUGUGAAGUGUGCACGAGAUAAAACUGCCUAUCUUGCGGAAAGACUGUAUAAAGCAAUGCGUGGAUUGGGUACAGAUGACACAACAUUGAUCCGCAUAGUCGUAGCUCGAUCAGAAAUCGAUUUAGGAGAUAUUAUGGAAUCUUACCAGAAAAUGUAUGGACAAUCUCUUGCAGCUGACAUCGAUGACGACUGUUCAGGAGACUACAAGAGACUCCUGCUUGCUCUACUUGGAUGAAAGCAUUUCAUGUUCAACAACCCCUUUUGUUUCUAAAUUAUACUUUAAUAAGGGAUAUUUCUUCGCAACAUUCCGCGAAUCUUUAUAGAUGUCUUAACUUUAAUUUGUUCUAAAUUACAUCAAUAAUUAGCGAGUGACUGCAGCGAAGAGUUUAAGCGGCUUCUGAUAGCAAUUUUGAAUUAAAGAAAAUGGAAAGGAGUGUUCACAUUAAUUUUCUUUAAGAAAAACAACAUGCACAUCUCUAACAUAGAUGUUAAUAAUAUGCACCUCAUAUAACUGUAAUCUUUAUAUUUGUCUCGUUUGCAAUAAAUUUGCACGUUCGCAAACGACUUCUUAUUUAUAAUAGAUUAUACAAGGAAGACACCAGUAUCUUUUUU
This 1320-nucleotide unclassified non-coding RNA is filed under the name Eufriesea mexicana. RNAcentral's name for it is "annexin B9-like, transcript variant X6". The record is from RNAcentral. Lineage: Eukaryota; Metazoa; Arthropoda; Insecta; Hymenoptera; Apidae.